RNAcentral lists this ribosomal RNA (393 nucleotides) under uncultured bacterium. RNAcentral's name for it is "partial 16S ribosomal RNA". It matches the Rfam family "Bacterial small subunit ribosomal RNA", at positions 523 to 918 of the family's 1533-position model. The record is from RNAcentral.
AUACGGAGGAUGCAAGCGUUAUCCGGAUUUAUUGGGUUUAAAGGGUGCGUAGGCGGGACUGUAAGUCAGGGGUGAAAUACUGCAGCUUAACUGUAGCAUUGCCUUUGAAACUGCCGUUCUUGAGUACAGUUGAGGUAGGCGGAAUGUGGUGUGUAGCGGUGAAAUGCAUAGAUAUACCACAGAACGCCGAUUGCGAAGGCAGCUUACUAAGCUGUUACUGACGCUGAGGCACGAAAGCGUGGGGAUCAAACAGGAUUAGAUCCCCUGGUAGUCCACGCAGUAAACGAUGAUGACUAACCGUCGGCGAUAGACCGCCGGUGGCCAAGCGAAAGCGAUAAGUCAUCCACCUGGGGAGUACGACCGCAAGGUUGAAACUCAAAUGAAUUGACGGGG